This 349-nucleotide small RNA is filed under the name Macrophomina phaseolina MS6. RNAcentral's name for it is "A. fumigatus sRNA Afu_309". It matches the Rfam family "A. fumigatus sRNA Afu_309". The record is from Rfam by way of RNAcentral. Lineage: Eukaryota; Fungi; Ascomycota; Dothideomycetes; Botryosphaeriales; Botryosphaeriaceae.
UCUUCCUCACCAAACACAAACCUGUGUCCAGCGCUCCCGGACGCCUCACGGUAUGAAUCCCCUUCAUUUUUGCCUAUUAAUCUCAGCUAACAGUCUCGCAGGUGUUUCCGGUCGAGUGCUGUGACAGUUCGGCCGGCUAUGCACAGGGGAGACAACACGCUUCGGCGUACGUGCCUCUGUGCGGCCGACAGGUAUUUCAGAUCCACAGCGGGUCGUCCAGAACGGUUCCUUGGGCUCUGCUCAGGUUGAGCCGGGAUGGCGGCUUUGCGGCGCGCCACAUUCCUAGUUUCCACAGAAUUACUCCAUUGGAGGCUGAAGAUAGGAGACACAACCGUGGCAGCGUACAUAC